RNAcentral lists this ribosomal RNA (479 nucleotides) under uncultured bacterium. RNAcentral describes it as "partial 16S ribosomal RNA". It matches the Rfam family "Bacterial small subunit ribosomal RNA", at positions 32 to 523 of the family's 1533-position model. The record is from RNAcentral.
AAUCAACGCUGGCGGCGUGCCUAACACAUGCAAGUCGAACGAGAAAGGGGCUUCGGCCCUGAGUAGAGUGGCGGACGGGUGAGUAACACGUGGGUGAUCUACCCUCCAGUGGGGGAUCACACAUCGAAAGGUGUGCUAAUACCGCAUGGAGUUCCGGUUGUCGCGAUCGGAAUGAAAGCAGCAAUGUGCUGGAGGAGGAGCCCGCGCCGGAUUAGCUAGUUGGUGGGGUAAUGGCCUACCAAGGCAACGAUCCGUAGCCGGCCUGAGAGGGUGACCGGCCACACUGGAACUGAGACACGGUCCAGACUCCUACGGGAGGCAGCAGUGGGGAAUUUUGCGCAAUGGGGGAAACCCUGACGCAGCAACGCCGCGUGGACGAUGAAGGCCUUUGGGUCGUAAAGUCCUGUCAGCAGGGAAAAACACAAUGAUGGUACCUGCAGAGGAAGCUCCGGCUAACUUCGUGCCAGCCGCCGCGGUAA